AGGGAGGACCUGUGCCUCCAGGUAAAGGAGAGGCAGAGGAGGGACAUCAAUGCUGCUGGGUAAUGUUGGACCAGGGGGCACCCCUGGCUUUCCUGGAACCAGAGGUUAUGAUAGAAUAAUUGGGGAGAAUGGUAUGCAAGGAAAAUAUGGGCCAAAGGGUGACAGAGGUCCUACCGGUGGACAAAGCGUUGAUAGGCCUAGAGGUGAUAAGGUACUGAAUUUCUUUUGCGCUUACUUUUGACAUUCAUUUGUGGAGUCAUUUUGCAUAUCGUACUUGUUUAGAAUUGUUGUGUGAGAUGUACUGAUGUUUUUUGGGGGCAGGGGGGUUUCACAGGGUGGAGAUGGUCGAGGGGGAUUUUCUGGUAUGCCAGGCCCUUUUGUAAGUGGAAAUAGUCUGUUUAAUUUGAUGGAUCAUUCUAAUCUGACUGUGGCUCAAUGUGUCUGUCUUGUCUACAGGGAGAGAUUGGGAAAUCAGGAAAGAGAGGAGCUGAAGGAGACCUGGUAUUAAGGUUCCUGUGUAACUACUCUUCUUAUUCUGUCUAUACAGCUUCCUGUCAUUGUCUCAGUAUAAUUUUUUUUAAAUCACCAUCAUCCCUAUUUUUGGUGAAGAAUUGACCUGAUAUUACAUUUGAGAUAUCCAGACCUCCAGUUGUUUUCCUGUCAGUAUGUUUAAGGUAUUGUGUUUUCAUCUGACCCUUGGAUUUGAAUCACACAGGGGAGGCCAGGAAUUCCAGGACUCACUGGACUGAAAGGGCUGAAGGUGAAACCUUUACUUCAGGGUGCAGUCUUGCCUCACUUGCACAUGCUGAUAUUACCACUAGAGGGCCAGAAUUCAAGUGAAAACUCAAGAAAAAUGGAAUGGAAUGGAACAUGUCUUUCUUCACUUAGGGACUUCAAGGCCAUCUUGGGGGUAGGGGACUGGAUGGAACACAUGGACCCCAUUGUAUCCCAUUGUUCUAUGCCAGAGAUGGUCCUGUGUCUAAUAUACUCAGAGGUGUCACACACAUACUGUAUGUGGUUUGACCAUGAUCCCUGUCCUCUAGGGACCCAUCAGAGGAACUGCAUCUGACGGGAAUUCCGGAUCUACCAGACUAAGGGUGGAGGUACGAGUAUGGGGGAGCACAGAGAUCCAUAGAGGGGACUUGGAGCUGUUGCCCCUCAGGGACGUUAGUGCGGAGGGAAGGGGAGAUCACUGGGACACAGACCUCAGAGCUGUCCUGGGACCUUUGUGCUUUUUGUAGCCUCCAUUUAUCCAGAGAGAAGAAGCAAGCACUGCCCAGUGUAUGGGGCAAGAUCCUUUGGCUGCAAUUCCUCAUCAGAACAAAAUAAUGUUGUCUCAUCAUGUUGUCUGUUCGCUGUAGCGCUUAUGUAUAAUUGCGAUAACAACUAG
Oncorhynchus gorbuscha (pink salmon) is the source of this 1390-nucleotide long non-coding RNA. RefSeq lists it as uncharacterized. The transcript is spliced from 4 exons. The record is from RefSeq and is a predicted model, not a curated record. NCBI's taxonomy places the organism in Eukaryota, Metazoa, Chordata, Actinopteri, Salmoniformes, Salmonidae.